GGAAUUUUCCGCAAUGGGCGAAAGCCUGACGGAGCAACGCCGCGUGAGGGAUGAAGGCCUCUGGGCUGUAAACCUCUUUUAUCAAGGAAGAAGAUCUGACGGUACUUGAUGAAUAAGCCACGGCUAAUUCCGUGCCAGCAGCCGCGGUAAUACGGGAGUGGCAAGCGUUAUCCGGAAUUAUUGGGCGUAAAGCGUCCGCAGGCGGCUUUGUAAGUCUGUUGUUAAAGCGUGGAGCUUAACUCCAUUUAAGCAAUGGAAACUGCAAGGCUUGAGUGUGGUAGGGGCAGAGGGAAUUCCCGGUGUAGCGGUGAAAUGCGUAGAUAUCGGGAAGAACACCAGUGGCGAAGGCGCUCUGCUGGGCCAUAACUGACGCUCAUGGACGAAAGCCAGGGGAGCGAAAGGGAUUAGAUACCCCUGUAGUC
RNAcentral lists this ribosomal RNA (422 nucleotides) under uncultured cyanobacterium. Its description in RNAcentral is "bacterial SSU rRNA". It matches the Rfam family "Bacterial small subunit ribosomal RNA", at positions 358 to 795 of the family's 1533-position model. Lineage: Bacteria; Bacillati; Cyanobacteriota. The record is from RNAcentral.